Molecule: ribosomal RNA, 458 nt
Filed under: uncultured bacterium
Lineage: Bacteria
Description: bacterial SSU rRNA
Rfam family: Bacterial small subunit ribosomal RNA
Source: RNAcentral
UACGGAAGGCAGCAGUAGGGAAUCUUCCGCAAUGGACGAAAGUCUGACGGAGCAACGCCGCGUGAACGAUGAAGGCUUUUCGGGUCGUAAAGUUCUGUUGUUAGGGAAGAACAAGUACCGGAGUAACUGCCGGUACCUUGACGGUACCUAACCAGAAAGCCACGGCUAACUACGUGCCAGCAGCCGCGGUAAUACGUAGGUGGCAAGCGUUGUCCGGAAUUAUUGGGCGUAAAGCGCGCGCAGGCGGUCCUUUUAAGUCUGAUGUGAAAGCCCACGGCUCAACCGUGGAGGGUCAUUGGAAACUGGGGACUUGAGUGCAGAAGAGGAGAGUGGAAUUCCACGGUGUAGCGGUGAAAUGCGUAGAGAUGUGGAGGAACACCAGUGGCGAAGGCGACUCUCUGGGUCUGUAACUGACGCUGAGGCGCGAAAGCGUGGGGAGCGAACAGGCAUUAGAUACC